AUCUUCCAAGAAAUAUUCGUCUUUCAAUGCAUGUGAAAAAUCCUCCCAUGAAUUCCCACAACGAUCCGUAAUCGAUGUAAUGUAGUCCCUUAUCUCCGGUAUCGUGGCAAGUCCAAAUAGUGCAACCAUUUUCUUCUCUGAAACCCGAUUUAAUUCCAUUUCACGAACAUAACAUCUUAAAUACCUUGAAAUAUUCCUCCCAU
RNAcentral lists this long non-coding RNA (203 nucleotides) under Physcomitrium patens. RNAcentral's name for it is "long non-coding RNA (PPAT_LNC007823)". The record is from RNAcentral. Lineage: Eukaryota; Viridiplantae; Streptophyta; Bryopsida; Funariales; Funariaceae.